RNAcentral lists this non-coding RNA (293 nucleotides) under Marmota monax (woodchuck). Lineage: Eukaryota; Metazoa; Chordata; Mammalia; Rodentia; Sciuridae. The record is from RNAcentral.
UGGCAGCAGCCCAUGAUCUAGUCAAAGAACAACUUGACUUGGGUCACAUCCAACCUUCUACUUCUCCAUGGAAUACUCCCAUAUUUGUUAUUAAGAAAAAAAUCAGGAAAGUGGUGCCUACUGCAUGAUCUACGAGCAGUUAAUGCUCAAAUGCAACUUAUGGGGCCCAUUCAAAGAGGGCUGCCUCUGCUCUCCUCUGUUCCUUAGGGUUGGCAUAUUAUUGCUAUUGACAUUAAAGACUGUUUCUUUUCUAUUCCUUUGCAUCCUAAAGACUCACAGCGUUUUGCCUUCAC